GUCAGGUGUAGUGGUGCACGCCUGUAAUUCCAGCAACUCAGGAGGCUGAGGUAGGAGGUUCACAAGUUUGAGGCCACCCUCAUCAACUUAAUGAGACUCUGUCUCAG
Molecule: small RNA, 107 nt
Filed under: Marmota monax (woodchuck)
Lineage: Eukaryota; Metazoa; Chordata; Mammalia; Rodentia; Sciuridae
Source: RNAcentral